AUAUGUAUAUAUUUACAUGUCUAAUUCUCACCAACUAGUACUUUUUAAACGGAUAACAUCGUCAGUAGCUAAUUUUCCAUAGCCCUUGUAGACGUGAGGAUGAUCGCAUACGCUGUUGGUUGAACCUAACUUGUUUUUGUUGGGUGUGUAUAGAGAAAUACCAAGCAAGUCACUGACACAUUCACCCACUGACUGUUGAAUCUACAGAGAGGCUCAUCUGCAGCUCGAAAACACCUGCCAGUUUUGGAAAGGACACUGAGAUAUUGAUGGUUAGAUGGAGGAACAUAGCUGUAGGAAAGAACUUGUCCUCAUCUCCAGUUGUACUGAUACAGAAGUAAACAUUGCUCGAGAGCGGUACUUGUUUUUCAGACGCGAAUGAGAGGGUCCCAAAACCGUUUAUUACCCUAGAUGACGCGCGUCUCUCUGCUUGAUUGCUUGUGCGUGAAAUAUUUGCAUACCUGACAACUCUCCUGAUUUGCCGUGAGGCUGCCGACUUCCAAGACCUAUUUCCUCUUCUCCCGAACACGAUACAGUUUCCCGAUCCCUAAAUUAAGGCCUUUAUUUCCCCCAAGUUUCUGGACUCAAAUAAUCAUAAUGUAUAAUUCUUUUAAAAGGAAACUGAACAGCUAUUUUCUUAACAAAAUUGAAUAAGCCAUUAUUGGCAUUUUGUACAAUGUACAUUUUUGUUUAAUGUUACAGGUAUAUCUUAAUUCUGUAUUAUAUCUGUAAUUCUGACCAAGUUUGGGAGAAUGAUUUUGUUAAUAAUAAUGUGUUUUUAUGCUAAUAUUUUAUGUAUCUAAUGAUUUUUAUGUAAAAUACUUUUAAUGGAUAUAUAGAUAUAAAUCUAUGUGUAUGUUACUUUAAUCAGCAGACGUUAAAUUUAAAAAAAAAAAACAUUUUAUGUAUAUUUUAAUCCAA
Long non-coding RNA from Macrobrachium nipponense, 918 nucleotides. RefSeq lists it as uncharacterized. NCBI's taxonomy places the organism in Eukaryota, Metazoa, Arthropoda, Malacostraca, Decapoda, Palaemonidae. The transcript is spliced from 3 exons. The record is from RefSeq and is a predicted model, not a curated record.